ACUAAGCGUACACGGUGGAUGCCCUGGCAGUCAGAGGCGAUGAAGGACGUGCUAAUCUGCGAAAAGCGUCGGUAAGGUGAUAUGAACCGUUAUAACCGGCGAUGUCCGAAUGGGGAAACCCAGUGCAAUUCGUUGCACUAUCGUUAACUGAAUACAUAGGUUAACGAGGCGAACCGGGGGAACUGAAACAUCUAAGUACCCCGAGGAAAAGAAAUCAACCGAGAUUCCCCCAGUAGCGGCGAGCGAACGGGGAGCAGCCCAGAGUCUGAAUCAGCUUGUGUGUUAGUGGAACGGUCUGGAAAGUCCGACGGUACAGGGUGAUAGUCCCGUACACCAAAAUGCACAGGCUGUGAACUCGAAGAGUAGGGCGGGACACGUGGUAUCCUGUCUGAAUAUGGGGGGACCAUCCUCCAAGGCUAAAUACUCCUGACUGACCGAUAGUGAACCAGUACCGUGAGGGAAAGGCGAAAAGAACCCCGGCGAGGGGAGUGAAAAAGAACCUGAAACCGUGUACGUACAAGCAGUGGGAGCACCUUCGGGUGUGACUGCGUACCUUUUGUAUAAUGGGUCAGCGACUUAUAUUCUGUAGCAAGGUUAACCGUAUAGGGGAGCCGCAGGGAAACCGAGUCUUAACUGGGCGUUAAGUUGCAGGGUAUAGACCCGAAACCCGGUGAUCUAGCCAUGGGCAGGUUGAAGGUUGGGUAACACUAACUGGAGGACCGAACCGACUAAUGUUGAAAAAUUAGCGGAUGACUUGUGGCUGGGGGUGAAAGGCCAAUCAAACCGGGAGAUAGCUGGUUCUCCCCGAAAGCUAUUUAGGUAGCGCCUCGUGAAUUCAUCUUCGGGGGUAGAGCACUGUUUCGGCUAGGGGGUCAUCCCGACUUACCAACCCGAUGCAAACUACGAAUACCGAAGAAUGUUAUCACGGGAGACACACGGCGGGUGCUAACGUCCGUCGUGAAGAGGGAAACAACCCAGACCGCCAGCUAAGGUCCCAAAGUCAUGGUUAAGUGGGAAACGAUGUGGGAAGGCACAGACAGCCAGGAUGUUGGCUUAGAAGCAGCCAUCAUUUAAAGAAAGCGUAAUAGCUCACUGGUCGAGUCGGCCUGCGCGGAAGAUGUAACGGGGCUAAACCAUGCACCGAAGCUGCGGCAGCGACACUAUGUGUUGUUGGGUAGGGGAGCGUUCUGUAAGCCUGCGAAGGUGACCUGUGAGGGUUGCUGGAGGUAUCAGAAGUGCGAAUGCUGACAUAAGUAACGAUAAAGCGGGUGAAAAGCCCGCUCGCCGGAAGACCAAGGGUUCCUGUCCAACGUUAAUCGGGGCAGGGUGAGUCGACCCCUAAGGCGAGGCCGAAAGGCGUAGUCGAUGGGAAACAGGUUAAUAUUCCUGUACUUGGUGUUACUGCGAAGGGGGGACGGAGAAGGCUAUGUUAGCCGGGCGACGGUUGUCCCGGUUUAAGCAUGUAGGCUGGUUAUCCAGGCAAAUCCGGAUAAUCAAGGCUGAGGUGUGAUGACGAGGCACUACGGUGCUGAAGUAACAAAUGCCCUGCUUCCAGGAAAAGCCUCUAAGCAUCAGGUAACAUCAAAUCGUACCCCAAACCGACACAGGUGGUCAGGUAGAGAAUACCAAGGCGCUUGAGAGAACUCGGGUGAAGGAACUAGGCAAAAUGGUGCCGUAACUUCGGGAGAAGGCACGCUGGUGUGUAGGUGAAGCCCCUGCGGGUGGAGCUGAGACCAGUCGAAGAUACCAGCUGGCUGCAACUGUUUAUUAAAAACACAGCACUGUGCAAACACGAAAGUGGACGUAUACGGUGUGACGCCUGCCCGGUGCCGGAAGGUUAAUUGAUGGGGUUAUCCGUAAGGAGAAGCUCUUGAUCGAAGCCCCGGUAAACGGCGGCCGUAACUAUAACGGUCCUAAGGUAGCGAAAUUCCUUGUCGGGUAAGUUCCGACCUGCACGAAUGGCGUAAUGAUGGCCAGGCUGUCUCCACCCGAGACUCAGUGAAAUUGAACUCGCUGUGAAGAUGCAGUGUACCCGCGGCAAGACGGAAAGACCCCGUGAACCUUUACUAUAGCUUGACACUGAACAUUGAGCCUUGAUGUGUAGGAUAGGUGGGAGGCUUUGAAGCGUGGACGCCAGUCUGCGUGGAGCCAACCUUGAAAUACCACCCUUUAAUGUUUGAUGUUCUAACGUUGGCCCCUGACCGGGGUUGCGGACAGUGUCUGGUGGGUAGUUUGACUGGGGCGGUCUCCUCCCAAAGCGUAACGGAGGAGCACGAAGGUUAGCUAAUCCUGGUCGGACAUCAGGAGGUUAGUGCAAUGGCAUAAGCUAGCUUGACUGCGAGCGUGACGGCGCGAGCAGGUGCGAAAGCAGGUCAUAGUGAUCCGGUGGUUCUGAAUGGAAGGGCCAUCGCUCAACGGAUAAAAGGUACUCCGGGGAUAACAGGCUGAUACCGCCCAAGAGUUCAUAUCGACGGCGGUGUUUGGCACCUCGAUGUCGGCUCAUCACAUCCUGGGGCUGAAGUAGGUCCCAAGGGUAUGGCUGUUCGCCAUUUAAAGUGGUACGCGAGCUGGGUUUAGAACGUCGUGAGACAGUUCGGUCCCUAUCUGCCGUGGGCGCUGGAGAAUUGAGGGGGGCUGCUCCUAGUACGAGAGGACCGGAGUGGACGCAUCACUGGUGUUCGGGUUGUCAUGCCAAUGGCACUGCCCGGUAGCUAAAUGCGGAAGAGAUAAGUGCUGAAAGCAUCUAAGCACGAAACUUGCCCCGAGAUGAGUUCUCCCUGAGACUUUAAGUCUCCUGAAGGAACGUUAAAGACGAUGACGUUGAUAGGCCGGGUGUGUAAGCGCAGCGAUGCGUUGAGCUAACCGGUACUAAUGAACCGUGAGGCUUAACC
RNAcentral lists this ribosomal RNA (2891 nucleotides) under human gut metagenome. RNAcentral describes it as "bacterial LSU rRNA". It matches the Rfam family "Bacterial large subunit ribosomal RNA". The record is from RNAcentral.